This 484-nucleotide ribosomal RNA is filed under the name uncultured bacterium. Its description in RNAcentral is "partial 16S ribosomal RNA". It matches the Rfam family "Bacterial small subunit ribosomal RNA", at positions 28 to 287 of the family's 1533-position model. The record is from RNAcentral.
GACGAACGCUGGCGGCGUGCUUAACACAUGCAAGUCGAACGGGAUUCAUGCUCAACACCGAGCAAGCGGGGCAGCAAGCGGAAGCGUCAAGCGCGAAGCGCUUUACGCGAAAAAAGCUUGCUAACACAAAGCAAAGGUUGUUGGAAACCAGGCUAAACCAAGCAAACGAAGCAGCAAGCGGAAGCGUCAAGCGCGAAGCGCUUUACGCGAAAAAGCUUGCUGACACAAAGCAAAGGUUGUUGGAAACAGUCAACACAGAGCGCAUCCGAUUGUUGGGUGUUGAGCAUGAUGAGAGUGGCGGACGGGCGAGUAACGCGUGAGCAACCUGCCCCAUGCAGGGGGAUAACACUCGGAAACGGGUGCUAAUACCGCAUAAAUUCACUGAAGCGCAUGUUUGGUGAACAAGCUGAGGCGGCAUGGGAUGGGCUCGCGUCCAAUUAGCUAGUUGGUAGGGUAACGGCCUACCAAGGCGACGAUUGGUACG